This 560-nucleotide ribosomal RNA is filed under the name uncultured fungus. RNAcentral describes it as "eukaryotic LSU rRNA". The stretch from base 199 to 352 matches the Rfam family "5.8S ribosomal RNA". Lineage: Eukaryota; Fungi. The record is from RNAcentral.
AGUAAAAGUCGUAACAAGGUUUCCGUAGGUGAACCUGCGGAAGGAUCAUUACAGAGUUCAUGCCCGAAAGGGUAGACCUCCCACCCUUGUGUAUUAUUACUUUGUUGCUUUGGCGAGCUGCCUUCGGGCCUUGUAUGCUCGCCAGAGAAUACCAAAACUCUUUUUAUUAAUGUCGUCUGAGUACUAUAUAAUAGUUAAAACUUUCAACAACGGAUCUCUUGGUUCUGGCAUCGAUGAAGAACGCAGCGAAAUGCGAUAAGUAAUGUGAAUUGCAGAAUUCAGUGAAUCAUCGAAUCUUUGAACGCACAUUGCGCCCCUUGGUAUUCCGGGGGGCAUGCCUGUUCGAGCGUCAUUUCAACCCUCAAGCUUAGCUUGGUAUUGAGUCUAUGUCAGUAAUGGCAGGCUCUAAAAUCAGUGGCGGCGCCGCUGGGUCCUGAACGUAGUAAUAUCUCUCGUUACAGGUUCUCGGUGUGCUUCUGCCAAAACCCAAAUUUUUCUAUGGUUGACCUCGGAUCAGGUAGGGAUACCCGCUGAACUUAAGCAUAUCAAUAAGCGGAGGA